RNAcentral lists this long non-coding RNA (1111 nucleotides) under Homo sapiens (human). RNAcentral's name for it is "FTX transcript, XIST regulator". The record is from RNAcentral. Lineage: Eukaryota; Metazoa; Chordata; Mammalia; Primates; Hominidae.
GGUUGCAAAAUGGCGAGGGGGGAGGUAAGCUGUCUUUGCUUGGCCAUCUUGGGCUAGCAGGCCUUGCAGAGAACUACCUUUUUAGCUGAGUGAAGGGAUCAACCUGAGUUGGAGUUCUCCUAUGCUGUGGCCAGAUCCACUAGAAAUUAACCCAGAAUCUUAGCCUCUCAGUGGCCUAUCGAUAAGCCAGCUAAGACAUGUUUUAAAGUAGAAGAUUAUAAGACCUCCCCCAGGGUCCUGCAGUCAGUCAGUUAUACCCUGCCCUUCAACAUCAAGCUUUGAACCUCUACUCUAGAAAUACCUUUUAUUAUAUUCAAACUUGAAGCACGUGGACAUAGCAUGCUUUGGUGCCUUCGUCCUUGCCCCCCUCCUUCCUACACAGUUCUUUGCAAUGAGAAUAUGGGAAAUAAGGACUUAAUGUGAGAUAAGGCAGAAAGGUGAUGCCACACUCAAUCAGAAACUAUGCUACUGCUGAAGAGGUAUAUUGAGCCCUGCCUGGUUAACCUCCAGUGAGGUUAUUAGAGAAUUGGGAGAGGCUCAAAUCAGCAUCCUGCACCUAGUUAUCAAACCAUUGUGAAGUCUUGAUUCCUGGAUGGCCAGAAAACUUGUCAUUGGUCAAGAGCAACAUUAAGAUCUGCCUGUUACUCAUACUGAUGCUUCCUGCCCAGCAAGUUCAUCAGAGGGCGAGGAUGAAUUACGGUUGCCAUGAAUGUCCUUGUGAGGCAGUUGGGAAGCCUUGGCUGGAUUGUGAAGGAUAUUUGAAAAGUAUUUUAGAGUCCACCAGAUCAUCCAUGUGAGUGACCAUGCAGCAAAAGAAGGAGGGUCCUCUCAGUGAUUAAGGAUUAUGAAGUAUUAAUUCUUCCACUGAUAUCUCAAAAGGUGAUCUGGACAAAGGAACAGGUAUCUCAGAUUCCCAGUUCUCAAUCUUCCUUCCUCCUUACAAGAUACAAGCAACCUUCAACCUUCCCAGAGAUGGUCUCUGUAUAUGAAAGACAAUGGUCUUAUUAUGAAGUCGGCAUAUUUAUAGCUUGAUAAAAACUGAAAAAUCUGUAGCCUAUUUUUAAUAGUGAUAUAUAAGGAAAUAACAUAAAUAAAAAUUUGGCAACAAGAA